Molecule: ribosomal RNA, 253 nt
Filed under: uncultured bacterium
Lineage: Bacteria
Description: partial 16S ribosomal RNA
Rfam family: Bacterial small subunit ribosomal RNA
Source: RNAcentral
UACAGAGGGUGCGAGCGUUAAUCGGAAUUACUGGGCGUAAAGCGUGCGUAGACGGUUAUCUAAGUCGGAUGUGAAAGCCCCGGGCUCAACCUGGGAAUUGCAUUCGAGACUGAAUAGCUAGGGUGCGGUAGAGGGAAGCGGAAUUUCCGGUGUAGCGGUGAAAUGCGUAGAUAUCGGAAGGAACAUCAGUGGCGAAAGCGACUUCCUGGACCAAUACUGACGCUCAUGUGCGAAAGCGUGGGGAGCAAACAGG